UCCGUUCGUCUCCUUAUCUUCCAUGGAGGUAACAAUGGAAUGCAUGAAGCCGUCUAUCACGGUACACCUAUGGUGGUCAUCCCAUUGGGUUUAGAUCAUUUUGAUGUUGCUGCUAGAGUAGUUCAACGUGGUAUCGGGUUGUAUCUUGACUUCUCAAGACUGACGCAGGAACACAUGCUCAAAGCCAUCAACACCGUUUUACAUGACUCGAGUUUUAAAGCCAAUGCCGAGAGGGCUUCAGAAAUUAUGAGGGGAAGACUGGACCACCCGCUUAAUCGCUCUGUACACUGGAUCGAACACGUCCUAAAACACAAAGGAAGCUACUUACGACCUUCUAGCUCCAAACUGUACUUCUGGCAAUUAUACCUUCUUGACAUCUACAUCGCGCUGGCAAUUAUGUCCUUUAUUGCUUAUAAGUUACUUAAGUUAGUUUUAAGGUUAUCCAUACGACUUUGGAAUGAUGCUUAUAUGCGAGACCGUAUGAGGCGUUGUAAACUUAUCAGCAUCAAACACGUGAUGUUGAUCUGUGUUUUUUUCGUAAUCUUUUAUAUUUUUUUAGUACGUGUAUAACUGAUGUAUUAGAUGAUUAAAAAAAAGGAAAUUGGAUUUGUCAAAAGUACAUAUACAUGCUCUGUCUUUCCAAACACCAAGGAAAUAAUCCAUCAUUUUCUGACCUAUUAUCUCACUCUGUUAUAGACAUGCAUGGCGUCGAAAUGGAAUCCUUAACUCAAUAUACAGUGAAUCUUCCAAACCGUGAAGAAAGGGUCAGGGGUAUUAGCAGUAUGUAGAGGGCCAGUUGAUAGCAAGAGGUCGAGGAGGAACACCCCCCCUCCUGCCGAAUAUCCUGGUUACAAACCAACAUCCAGAUCUCGCUAUAGUUUGGGAACAUACAAAGUAAAUCAUGCUAAUUGAGCUUAUCGUACCUUUUCAAAGGAAUAUUGACGCCGCGCAAAGACAUAUAGGAAACACUCAUUGCAUGCCUAAAUCAUGAAUAAUCUAUCCCAAAAAUAUUUAAGAAACGGAUUCGAGUUAGUAUUACAUACGAAUCAGUCCC
This is a long non-coding RNA of Lytechinus variegatus (green sea urchin), 1054 nucleotides long. RefSeq lists it as uncharacterized. The record is from RefSeq and is a predicted model, not a curated record. Lineage: Eukaryota; Metazoa; Echinodermata; Echinoidea; Temnopleuroida; Toxopneustidae. The transcript has 2 exons.